UACGAGGGGGGCAAGCGUUGUUCGGAAUUAUUGGGCGUAAAGGGUGCGUAGGCGGUCUGAUAAGUCAUCUGUGAAAUCUAUGGGCUCAACCCAUAGUCUGCAGGCGAAACUGUCGGGCUUGAGUAUGGGAGAGGUGAGUGGAAUUUCCGGUGUAGCGGUGAAAUGCGUAGAUAUCGGAAGGAACACCUGUGGCGAAAGCGGCUCACUGGACCAUUACUGACGCUGAGGCGCGAAAGCGUGGGGAGCAAACAGG
This 253-nucleotide ribosomal RNA is filed under the name uncultured bacterium. RNAcentral describes it as "partial 16S ribosomal RNA". It matches the Rfam family "Bacterial small subunit ribosomal RNA", at positions 524 to 776 of the family's 1533-position model. The record is from RNAcentral.